RNAcentral lists this microRNA (24 nucleotides) under Drosophila pseudoobscura pseudoobscura. RNAcentral's name for it is "mir-1006-RA". Lineage: Eukaryota; Metazoa; Arthropoda; Insecta; Diptera; Drosophilidae. The record is from RNAcentral.
GAGUUUGAAAUUGAAAUGUGUAAA